This 90-nucleotide transfer RNA is filed under the name Gammaproteobacteria bacterium. Its description in RNAcentral is "tRNA-Ser". It matches the Rfam family "tRNA". Rfam says of the family: Transfer RNA (tRNA) molecules are approximately 80 nucleotides in length. Their secondary structure includes four short double-helical elements and three loops (D, anti-codon, and T loops). Further hydrogen bonds mediate the characteristic L-shaped molecular structure. tRNAs have two regions of fundamental functional importance: the anti-codon, which is responsible for specific mRNA codon recognition, and the 3' end, to which the tRNAs corresponding amino acid is attached (by aminoacyl-tRNA synthetases). tRNAs cope with the degeneracy of the genetic code in two manners: having more than one tRNA (with a specific anti-codon) for a particular amino acid; and 'wobble' base-pairing, i.e. permitting non-standard base-pairing at the 3rd anti-codon position. RNAcentral also lists the same sequence under 1 other name. The record is from RNAcentral. Lineage: Bacteria; Pseudomonadati; Pseudomonadota; Gammaproteobacteria.
GGAGAGCUGGCCGAGUGGCUGAAGGCGCGCCCCUGCUAAGGGUGUAUCGGUUAAUCCCGAUCGAGGGUUCGAAUCCCUCGCUCUCCGCCA